AGUGAACGCUGGCGGUAGGCCUAACACAUGCAAGUCGAACGGCAGCACAGUAAGAGCUUGCUCUUACGGGUGGCGAGUGGCGGACGGGUGAGGAAUACAUCGGAAUCUACUUUUUCGUGGGGGAUAACGUAGGGAAACUUACGCUAAUGCCGCAUACGACCUACGGGUGAAAGCAGGGGAUCUUCGGACCUUGCGCGAUUGAAUGAGCCGAUGUCGGAUUAGCUAGUUGGCGGGGUAAAGGCCCACCAAGGCGACGAUCCGUAGCUGGUCUGAGAGGAUGAUCAGCCACACUGGAACUGAGACACGGUCCAGACUCCUACGGGAGGCGGCAGUGGGGAAUAUUGGACAAUGGGCGCAAGCCUGAUCCAGCCAUACCGCGUGGGUGAAGAAGGCCUUCGGGUUGUAAAGCCCUUUUGUUGGGAAAGAAAAGCAGCAGGUUAAUACCCCGCUGUUCUGACGGUACCCAAAGAAUAAGCACCGGCUAACUUCGUG
This 492-nucleotide ribosomal RNA is filed under the name uncultured bacterium. Its description in RNAcentral is "partial 16S ribosomal RNA". It matches the Rfam family "Bacterial small subunit ribosomal RNA", at positions 29 to 507 of the family's 1533-position model. The record is from RNAcentral.